This 490-nucleotide ribosomal RNA is filed under the name uncultured bacterium. Its description in RNAcentral is "partial 16S ribosomal RNA". It matches the Rfam family "Bacterial small subunit ribosomal RNA", at positions 30 to 507 of the family's 1533-position model. The record is from RNAcentral.
AUUGAACGCUGGCGGCAGGCCUAACACAUGCAAGUCGAACGGUAACAGGAAGAAGCUUGCUUCUUUGCUGACGAGUGGCGGACGGGUGAGUAAUGUCUGUGAAACUGCCUGAUGGAGGGGGAUAACUACUGGAAACGGUAGCUAAUACCGCAUAACGUCGCAAGACCAAAAAGGGGGACCUUCGGGCCUCUUGCCAUCGGAUGUGCCCAGAUGGGAUUAGCUAGUAGGUGGGGUAACGGCUCACCUAGGCGACGAUCCCUAGCUGGUCUGAGAGGAUGACCAGCCACACUGGAACUGAGACACGGUCCAGACUCCUACGGGAGGCAGCAGUGGGGAAUAUUGCACAAUGGGCGCAAGCCUGAUGAAGCCAUGCCGCGUGUAUGAAGAAGGCCUUCGGGUUGUAAAGUACUUUCAGCGGGGAGGAAGGGAGUAAAGUUAAUACCUUUGCUCAUUGACGUUACCCGCAGAAGAAGCACCGGCUAACUCCGUG